This 264-nucleotide ribosomal RNA is filed under the name uncultured bacterium. RNAcentral describes it as "partial 16S ribosomal RNA". It matches the Rfam family "Bacterial small subunit ribosomal RNA", at positions 793 to 1055 of the family's 1533-position model. The record is from RNAcentral.
GUCCACGCCCUAAACGAUGUCAACUGGGUGUUGGGGAAGCGAUUCCUCAGUACCGUAGCUAACGCGUGAAGUUGACCGCCUGGGGAGUACGGCCGCAAGGUUAAAACUCAAAGGAAUUGACGGGGACCCGCACAAGCGGUGGAUGAUGUGGAUUAAUUCGAUGCAACGCGAACAACCUUACCUACCCUUGACAUGUCCGGAACCCCACUGAGAGGUGGGGGUGCCCGAAAGGGAAUCGGAACACAGGUGCUGCAUGGCUGUCGU